GUACAACGUUUGGUUGCGUUGGUCGUUGGUCGUUGCUCGUUUCACUGUUUCGUUGUUUCGAUUACAUGGGAGCACAUCGUUUUUACAGUUAUGCCGUGUGGCGCUUAAGUAGGCUUCGUUGCCUCCGUUUGUUGUUGUUGUUGCUCCAAGGAAACGGAAAUUGCACGCCAAAAAAGCCAGUCGAAGCGAAACUCUUGACAAAGUUGAACGCGUUUGUGGCCCUCGCGUCGGAGUGCGUUUUGUCGUCGGUUGCGGUAUAUUUGCGUUUUUUAGUUAUUUUCGGGUAGAAAAAUCGCGUUCGUACGUUCGUUUGCCGCCUUCUACCGGUCCCAUGAUGGCUGUGUGCGUGUUCAUACGUGUUUGUGUGUACGUAAUGUAUAUGCGCCGCUCUGCGAGCGUCUAGACGCAACCCACGUAAAUGGAAAUUUUCGGCUGCUGUUAGAAUAUUUGUGAAAUUUGCAUAAAAAUUGCGGUGCUGAAAGAAAAAUAUUGAAUGAACCGAAAUGUUACAAAUUUAAUUGUUGGCGGUAUUAGAGGAAUUCUUUAAAAGGUUGCUCCCACAUUUGAGUGAAGCAUUAAAAGUCUAAGCAAAAACAAAAAAACUAAAGCAUACAGUUUAGUGUAAUGAAAGUCGUGAAUCAUAUUUGCUUAUGUUUAAAUGUGUAACUUAUUUGUGUGCUUGUGAAAAAAAAUCAAUAAAUGCGGAAAAGUUCUCUGGCAAAUGGGCAAAACUUCUGAAAUAAAUUCAUUAAGGGCAAGCGGUGCGAAUAGUGAAAGUGACUCAUUUUGGGGUAAGCCACAAUCAACUUGAAAAACAAAUACAAGCCGAGGCUAAACAGAAUUGAGAAAAAUGUUGAUGAAAAAAACCUCAGCAAAGUAAGCAAAUCAGCAGACGUUGCAUUAGUAUGCAAGGCAUGUGGAUAAACAAGAAAGUAACGGUACUUGUAAUUGUGUUUAAUUACGCACCACAAAUACGGGAUAACCGAAAUAAUAUUUAAACAAGUCCGGAAAAACAAAAACAAAAAAAAAAACAAAUACAGAAAUAAAGAAAAAAGUUGCGAUAAGCGAAUUUUGAGAAAUGCAAAGAAAAUUAUGGAAAUUAGUGCGGAAAAAUAUGAAAAAUUAAAAGCAAGCUGAGUCAAUAGAGGAACCCACAGCGCAUCAAACAACAGACGGGCAAAACUUCUCUUAAAAUAAACACAAAAAAUUUGCAAAGCGCGCGCCAACAAUUAGUGGCGCAUAAGAAAAACGACAAACAAAAAUUAUCAUAACAGAGCGAGUGUGUGUGAGUGCGUGAGAUAGAGAGAGAGAAAUAUUAAGGAAAAAACAGUAAUAAUAAUAAGUUGAUGAAAUAAGGAGUAGCAAAUUAAACAUAAACCGCUUAUGAAAAUAACGAACUUCAGUGGUGGCCGGGAAGAAUAAAAAAAGAGCAGAAGCGAAAGGCAAGCAAAGAAGGAAGUUGCGCCAAGAACCUGCCGCGCCAAACAAAAAAGAAGAAAAAAAAAAUCGACCAAAGUAGCAAAGUGAAAAAAUGUGCGCUACUGCGUGCGAAACUUUUCCCCAUGGAUCCGCCUAGUCAGCGGAAAAAUAAAAAUUUGUAAGAGAAAAUCAAUUCCAUAAGCAACAAUAGCAACAACACAAACACUACCGAAAAAAUAUUAUCAAUCCCAAAGCAAGCAAAUAAUAAAGAUCCCAACCAAGAACAAAAACAAAGACAAGAAAAGCGAAAAACAAGACUAAAAAGAACAAAAAAAAAAAACAAAUCACGCGAAAAACGCGCGAAAGAGGCUAAAGUGCGGCUACAAACUUGGCUAAGCUACUUGGCUAACUUGACGUCGGACGCGACUAAUAGCAAUGGUCGCGCAGCCAAACCGCCAACAACAAAGCAAAUGGACAAAAAUGAUAAUCGAAAACUAAGCAGUCACUUUUACGCGGCAUCAACAACAAAAGCCAGUCAGCCGUCUAUCGAUUUUUGUGUGCGACAAUUCAGACAUCAGCAACCAAAAAUAACAACAGCAGCGGCAGCA
Anastrepha ludens (Mexican fruit fly) is the source of this 2027-nucleotide long non-coding RNA. RefSeq lists it as uncharacterized. The record is from RefSeq and is a predicted model, not a curated record. NCBI's taxonomy places the organism in Eukaryota, Metazoa, Arthropoda, Insecta, Diptera, Tephritidae. The transcript has 3 exons.